Non-coding RNA from Bemisia tabaci, 539 nucleotides. NCBI's taxonomy places the organism in Eukaryota, Metazoa, Arthropoda, Insecta, Hemiptera, Aleyrodidae. The record is from RefSeq and is a predicted model, not a curated record.
UUUACUCCUCGCGGUGACGGGCUCUCUUUGUUUAUAGUCAGUUUUCAAGCAGUUAUACGAGUCGGAGUUUCGUGGUGGCCACCGUUGUAGUUUUAGUUCUCGUGUUUUUAAAAGUUUUUAUUUUUCCGCGUAGACAUUCGACGAUUUUAACAUUUCGCGUGGACAAUCGAUCAGUUUUAUGAAUAGUUUUUAAGUUAUAAUGUGUGCCUGCCUGAGGAUGCCCCCCAUGCGGGGCGAAACGUUGCGGAUGCGUAGGAACUAAUGUUUCGAUUUUUUUAUGGCUGCAAGCUGAAUAAAUAAGUUUCGAUGCGACUUGAAUCUAAACAUCAACUUACAAUACCACUGCAACUUGUAAAACAAUUUGAGAAAUGCAUGGCAAAAGGACCUGCAGUAAGGCUAUGUGGCAUCAUAGCCUUACUCAAUAGGGUGUGUGCCCGACCUGGCAACGGGGCACCCACAGACAGACAGGCCACUAGCCAGAGCCAGGCCCUUCCUGUUCAAGUCGUGAUCUCGCUAUAAUAAACAUCUUUGAGUGAUCA